GCUACUAUAUAUAUUAUUCCUAUAGGCUGGGUUAAAGGUCAUGAAGCAUCCAUUGACAGGGGGAAAUGAAGACCGCACAGCUUGGAGAUCAGGUUAAAGCCAGAGGACGUACUGAACGUGUGUGUGGGGGGGAGGUCAUAGUUCAGCCUUAAACCUCUCUUUCCAACUAGUACCCCUUUCUCUUUUUCAAGUACCCCUCUUUGUCACGAGACAUUCCCCCCAAAAUUCCUUCUUUCCCUCCAUCCUGCUCUUGUUCACCCCCCCCCACCCCCCCUCUGUUACACUUCAUCCCCCCUCUUCUUUCUCCUUCCCCCGUGUCAGACAGGCUGUUGGUUUCUCCGUGCGUUUUGAGGCCGUGUGCUACCUGAGCUGGUGUGUGCUGUGUGUUUGUGGCAGGUCUCUGGCAUGGCGCCCCGCUGAUCGGUGGCUCGGAGGUGUGUUUGACAUGGAGAAGGGCCCACCAGCAGCGCAGACUAACCCUGCGGAGGCCAGCUCUUCAGCUGUCCCUGCCUGCCAGGGCCUCUGCCUCCAGUCAACAACAAGCCAGCUCAUCCAGCAGCAACCUGAUCUCCAGCUGCCAUGAUCUACGUCUAUGAAGAUGUGUCAUGUCUGCGUCUGUGAAGAUGUGUCGUGGUCUACAUCUAUGAAGAUGUGUCAUGGUCUACGUUUUUGGAGAUGAUUCGUGGUCUACAUCUAUGAAGAUGUGUCGUGGUCUACGUCUGUGGAGAUGUGUCGUGGUCUACGUCUAUUAAGAUGUGUCGUGGUCUACUUCUGUGAAGAUGUGUCGUGGUCUACUUCUGUGAAGAUGUGUCGUGGUCUACGUCUAUGAAGAUGUGGCGUGGUCUACGUCUAUGAAGAUGUGUCGUGGUCUACUUAUAUGAAGAUGUGUCGUGGUCUACGUCUAUGAAGAUGUCAUGUUCUACUUCUGUGAUGAUGUUUCAUGGUAUACGUCUAUGGAGAUGUGUUGUGGUCUAAGUCUAUGGAGAUGUCAUGGUCUACUUCUAUGAAGAUAUGUCGUGAUCUACUUCUAUGAAGAUGUGUCGUGGUCUGCGUCUAUGGAGAUGUGUUGUGGCCCUAUGUUUAUGGAGAUGUGUUGUGGCCUACAUCUAUGAAGAUAUGUUGUGGUUUAUGUAAAUGAAGAUGUGUGUUUCAUUUUUAUCAUUUCAUUUAUUGUUUUCCCCAUUAUCGGGCAGAUAUUUGCGUCCAGCUUCUAGCAGGACAAUGUUGUGAGAACGGUUAUUGGUUUUCAUAACCCCACCAGUGCUCUAGACUGAGACCCUUUUGUAUUAAUUAGUCACUUUAAUUUGUUUUAAUUGGGUUGCAUUGUUUUAAUUAGGUUUUUGUAUUUUUAUUAGGUUGCAUUGGUAUGAGCUGCACAUUCUGCACAGCACCUCAAUUCCCAAUCAACACAUCAUGUUUUUUGGAGGCUAACAUCUGGAUUCAGGUCAAACAUUACAGCGUAUUAUCCUCAUGAUUCAUGUAUUAAAAGUAUCUGUCCCGGUACUUGUUUCGCUGCAUACAGCCUGUAGCAUUGUAACGAGCGAGCCACUCUCUCAUUUUUCUUUCCUGGUGAAAACAAAUGCCCCAGGAGAAUACGUGCUUUGUGAUUGUAUAAAACAUUCAAACCCAAUUGCGAAGAGAACACAGCCAUCCCUUUGUCACAGUUGAGGAAAUUAGGUUCUCAGUUUCAUGUGGAAAUGCUUUUUAUUUCAUAACUCUACAUUAUAUUUUUACAACAGAUGUAUAUUUCUUUUACAACAGAUUUUGGAAAGACCACCAGCAACAAUUUAUAAACAUCACAUUUCAACAUUACAUUUACUGUUGAAUACAUAUAUCAGUGGGUAUUAUAAUAGAACUGGUGAGCAAGCUAAUGUGUUUUUGGUUUCCAUUUAGCAACUUGGGGAAUUAAAUCCAAAUAAUUAGCCUGGGAUAUCAGUCCACAUAAAGAUUCAAGUAAAUUUAUGUUUGUUGAACAAAAGCCACAAUUCUCAGGCCAUAUAAUAAUUUCGAACAGGAACAGCCUAAACAUCAACUGAUAAUUGAUGACAAUCCCUGGAUCAGGUUGGACAUAUUUUCAAACACCACACUGGUAUUUCUACAAUACCAUCACAGUAGUCUGCCACUUACACCGGAAGGUAACAUCUGCAGUUGCUUCAUCCAUUUCAGGACUUAAAGGGAUAGUUCAAACUUGAUUCAUAGUUGGGUGAAAUUAUGCUUAACCUGACAGUAAUCUGUCGCACUAGAAUCACUUUCUGGAAUGCAUACUGACAAAACAGCUGGCAGAAUUUAGCGACUUCAAACUGGCACUGCGGAACCGCCACACCACCACUCUGUUGUUUGGCAACGAAGUCCUCGGUAUCUAAUGAAUGCUAAGUGGCUGUAUAUGGAGAUACAUUAAAACGUCUUCUUCCUGAAGAAAACCCACAGUUCUAUGGCAUUUGUGAACAAAACUGACCGGUAAGCACAGGAAGUCUAGUGGAUCCGUUUAGUUGCAGUGUCAUGAGUGGAGGAGCCGGUCGCAGGGGUUUGAGGAAGAAAUUCGUUUUAUUACUGAAGUUCAAACGCCGUAUUGUAAACAAACUGAGCAUGGUGUUAUUGUUUAUUUUACUACCAGAAAACCGUAACCGGGAAAACCAAAUGGCGAUGAUAGUUUACUUCUCCCUCCCCAUGUGAGCCGCUCCGCUUAAGUCCUUGGUACCAAAUGUAUAGUGGAAACAAGUCUGGAGCCAACAGUAGCAUAAAUCAGCCCUGGUACUGGGGCAAAGCACCAGUGGAAACGCGGCACAACACCACUAGCCUUAGUUUGUAGUGUUUUGGAGAGAGUUUCCACUUGCAAUACAGCUUUUGUGGUUCAGGACGCACAGUUUCAAUUUGUGAAUUUGGACAAUGCCAAUAAUGCAAAUUUCACCCAAAUAGGAAUCUAGGUCAAACUAUACCUUUAAUAAAAAUGUUUUUAUACACAGUGAUUGUUUAAAAAUAGCCGAAUAAGCUUUGUUCAACAGCAAAACCCUAUAAGAACCCAAAAUAUAUGCUUGUCUCACGGUUUUUAAACAACAUACAUUUUUAUGUCAUUUACAACAGGCUCAUAUCCAGAGCGACUUACAGUUAGGGCACUCAUCUUUAGAAAGUCACUGUAGGUGGGCCAGUCACAAGCAAAUAGAAAUAAACACUAUUUAGACUCAAAACCUGGUUAAAACUCGUGAAGAUUAUUAUACAUUUUUCUUUUUACGUGACACUGCCAAAAAAACAUUGGUGGCUCAAUCAUAAGCCAACAGCAGAAAAUCUCUGGCACACUGACAAAUCUGGAGCUCUGACUACAGUCAAGUGAUUGAAACACUACAGUUAAAAGAUAAGCUUUUGUCUUGGUUGUGUGUAUGGUUUUAGUGUAGGUUGCUAGUGGUUUUUUUUGUAUGUUUAGUGUGGGUGUAUGUGUUUUUAGUGUGGGUUUUCAACUGUGAGGGUGUGUGUGUAAACUACGUUUUUAGUGUAUAUGUGUGUCUGAAUAUAGUAGGGUGGACAGAGGAUGGAGGGAGGCGUGGGUGUAGAUGGAUAGCACCACUGAGUGGACCACUAAAAGCUGGUUACCUAGACUUUACCCACCCACUCAGAGAGACUGCUCUUGUCUACUGCUCCCACAUGCUAAAACACUUAUUGGAUACAACACACACACACACACACACACAGAUUGCAAAAGUUCCAAUCUUAUUAAAACUACAUUCCAAGGCAGACUGACGAGCAGUCAGAGAGACGUGAACACAUCCUUGUGUGUUGUUGCCAUAUGCGAUGGUGAUGAGCAGCGCAUGACCAGAACCGGAGCGUAACGUCUUAUCAGACAAAGUCGCUACUCAGGGCAGGAGGCUGAUGUGUCUCAGACAGCAGUCAUGAGGUCUCCGUCGCAUUUGACACGCAGGGUCCCGUGGGUAAGACAUAAAAACAGAGAGCUACACGCCCCCUCACACACACACACACACGCACGCACACACACACCAAUGACAUUCACUUAAAGGAUGAGUUGAGUAGGUCCAGACAAUUUGUUUCACACACUGUUGAUGUGACUCCGUCAAUUCACUUAAUUUUGACCUCAUCUGUAGGUGUUGACCGAAACAUUGAGUAUUUCAAUGUUUUAUAUGCCUGUGUAAUUCUGACAGUUAUUUGUUUACUACCUGUUUCCUACUAAGGCCAAGUUAUUUAAUACAGAAGCAGCUCUCUAUGACUCAACAAGAGAUCAUAGGUCUCAUCACUGGUCCCCCUUUUUCAGGGUACUGUUCCUAAAUUAAAGACAUUUACUGUUAAAGGUUGAAUCAGUAUUGUGAAGUUUGUCAACUCCUCUUUUAACUCUUAAAGAAGUCUGAUUGACUGGCUGCAUGACCGGCUGCUUGACUGACCAUCGGGCUGAUUGUUUGACCGGUUGUUUGAAUGACUGGCUAGUCACAAGGUGGUGUCAUUAGGAGAAAAAGCUCCAGGCUAGUAUCAGAACAGCCACACCAGAGCACUUGAAAUGUAAUGAACACUUAUGAAACUGUACAGAGGACUGGGUUCACCUACCUCCUGAUAUGAAAAGACCCGCUUGUCUGUGUGGCAAAAUAGGAUUGAACGUGCCAGGAAAUACUUCUCUACACCCAACUAUUCAGGCAAAUUGUGAUAAACGUGUAGGGAUCAAGUGAGCGAAUAAAGACGUUGGAGUCAAGUGUGUAUAAAGAUGAAAGGCUGUGUCACUUCUCCAGUUUUACUUGAGGGGACAGCAACUUUCCUCUCACAGUAACACAAGUUGCCUCUGAAGUUCCACGGGCAAAUGAAUUAAGAGUGGAAUUAUCUUAUGGAGUUACCACUUAAAGCCGAUCACACGCGCACACACGCUAAGCUCUG
Esox lucius (northern pike) is the source of this 4866-nucleotide long non-coding RNA. The record is from Ensembl. NCBI's taxonomy places the organism in Eukaryota, Metazoa, Chordata, Actinopteri, Esociformes, Esocidae.